Molecule: long non-coding RNA, 147 nt
Organism: Etheostoma spectabile (orangethroat darter)
Lineage: Eukaryota; Metazoa; Chordata; Actinopteri; Perciformes; Percidae
Exons: 3
Source: RefSeq, a predicted model, not a curated record
UUGCUAAAAUAUUUCAAUAAUUGGGAAUGAAAUUGGCUAAGAAGAUGUAAAACAGAAUUAGGUGAUAAUUUAUACUUUAUACUUAACAAAACAGGCAAAACAGACCGGGUCAAUUUUUACCAUGGUUGACGAUAACACAAGAGUUAA